GUAGUCCACGCCGUAAACGAUGGAUACUAGUUGUUGGCCGUAUCGACCCGGUCAGUAACGAAGCUAACGCGUUAAGUAUCCCGCCUGGGGAGUACGGUCGCAAGAUUAAAACUCAAAGGAAUUGACGGGGACCCGCACAAGCGGUGGAGCGUGUUGUUUAAUUCGAGGCUAAGCGAAGAACCUUACCAGGGUUUGACAUCCUAGGAAUUACUGCGAAAGUAGUGAGUGCCUUCGGGAACCUAGUGACAGGUGUUGCAUGGCCGUCGUCAGCUCGUGUCGUGAGAUGUUUGGUUAAGUCCAUCAACGAGCGCAACCCUUAUGAUUAGUUGGAUUUUUCUAAUCAGACUGCCCCGGUAACGGGGAGGAAGGGGGGGGAUGAUGUCAGGUCUGUAUUACCCUUACAUCCUGGGCUACAAACGCGCUACAAUGGCCGGUACAAAGGGCAGCUAAGUCGCGAGACGGAGCAAAUCCCAUCAAAGCCGGUCCCAGUUCGGAUUGCAGGCUGAAACUCGCCUGCAUGAAGUCGGAAUCGCUAGUAAUCGCAGGUCAGCACACUGCGGUGAAUACGUUCCCGGGUCUUGUACACACCGCCCGUCAAACCAUGAAAGUCACCAACACCCGAAGUCCUAACUCGUUUAGGCCUAAGGUGGGGGGGAUGAUUGGGGGUU
RNAcentral lists this ribosomal RNA (668 nucleotides) under uncultured bacterium. RNAcentral's name for it is "bacterial SSU rRNA". It matches the Rfam family "Bacterial small subunit ribosomal RNA", at positions 790 to 1483 of the family's 1533-position model. The record is from RNAcentral.